RNAcentral lists this ribosomal RNA (1372 nucleotides) under uncultured bacterium. Its description in RNAcentral is "bacterial SSU rRNA". It matches the Rfam family "Bacterial small subunit ribosomal RNA", at positions 28 to 1381 of the family's 1533-position model. The record is from RNAcentral.
GAUGAACGCUGGCGGCGUGCCUAAUACAUGCAAGUCGAGCGAACGGACGAGAAGCUUGCUUUUCUGAUGUUAGCGGCGGACGGGUGAGUAACACGUGGAUAACCUACCUAUAAGACUGGGAUAACUUCGGGAAACCGGAGCUAAUACCGGAUAAUAUUUUGAACCGCAUGGUUCAAAAGUGAAAGACGGUCUUGCUGUCACUUAUAGAUGGAUCCGCGCUGCAUUAGCUAGUUGGUAAGGUAACGGCUUACCAAGGCAACGAUGCAUAGCCGACCUGAGAGGGUGAUCGGCCACACUGGAACUGAGACACGGUCCAGACUCCUACGGGAGGCAGCAGUAGGGAAUCUUCCGCAAUGGGCGAAAGCCUGACGGAGCAACGCCGCGUGAGUGAUGAAGGUCUUCGGAUCGUAAAACUCUGUUAUUAGGGAAGAACAUAUGUGUAAGUAACUGUGCACAUCUUGACGGUACCUAAUCAGAAAGCCACGGCUAACUACGUGCCAGCAGCCGCGGUAAUACGUAGGUGGCAAGCGUUAUCCGGAAUUAUUGGGCGUAAAGCGCGCGUAGGCGGUUUUUUAAGUCUGAUGUGAAAGCCCACGGCUCAACCGUGGAGGGUCAUUGGAAACUGGAAAACUUGAGUGCAGAAGAGGAAAGUGGAAUUCCAUGUGUAGCGGUGAAAUGCGCAGAGAUGUGGAGGAACACCAGUGGCGAAGGCGACUUUCUGGUCUGUAACUGACGCUGAUGUGCGAAAGCGUGGGGAUCAAACAGGAUUAGAUACCCUGGUAGUCCACGCCGUAAACGAUGAGUGCUAAGUGUUAGGGGGUUUCCGCCCCUUAGUGCUGCAGCUAACGCAUUAAGCACUCCGCCUGGGGAGUACGACCGCAAGGUUGAAACUCAAAGGAAUUGACGGGGGCCCGCACAAGCGGUGGAGCAUGUGGUUUAAUUCGAAGCAACGCGAAGAACCUUACCAAAUCUUGACAUCCUUUGACAACUCUAGAGAUAGAGCCUUCCCCUUCGGGGGACAAAGUGACAGGUGGUGCAUGGUUGUCGUCAGCUCGUGUCGUGAGAUGUUGGGUUAAGUCCCGCAACGAGCGCAACCCUUAAGCUUAGUUGCCAUCAUUAAGUUGGGCACUCUAAGUUGACUGCCGGUGACAAACCGGAGGAAGAUGGGGAUGACGUCAAAUCAUCAUGCCCCUUAUGAUUUGGGCUACACACGUGCUACAAUGGACAAUACAAAGGGCAGCGAAACCGCGAGGUCAAGCAAAUCCCAUAAAGUUGUUCUCAGUUCGGAUUGUAGUCUGCAACUCGACUACAUGAAGCUGGAAUCGCUAGUAAUCGUAGAUCAGCAUGCUACGGUGAAUACGUUCCCGGGUCU